UGUUGCUCAAUAAGUUGCAGUCACUGAUCUACAAAAAAAAAAAAAAAUGGAUAGCUCAUUGGCCACCAAAAUUGAAGUCGACCAGUUUCGUGGCUCAGAGAAAAAAAUUACACAGGAAAGUGGUGCAGAUGUUCCUGAGAGCUGGCUUGCAGUUUCCCUGUUUUCCUUCUGCUCGUCUGUUCCCAGCUCUCCAGUGUUGCCAAGGGGCCGGUGAUGAAUGAUCAAUUGAUGGGCGUAUAGCCUUUGGUUGGACUGCAGCAGGCUAUCUUUGUUUGGCUGAUUUUCCCGGUAGGCUUCUAACUGGGGAGACUCCAAUUCGGGAGCAAUAAAGAUAUCAUUAACUGCUGAUUGCUUUGGAGUGAUGAAGCCUUGGUGGGUGGUCUUUAUCUGAGAGUCAGGAAACAGAACCAGACCCGUAAACACUCCACUCGGCGCAGAGGAAACCCCCGAAACAUCGGCUUGCAUGCAGGCGGGGCAGCGCUAUCACUGAGUCUGCUCCGCGCUGACACUAAAAGGAUGGCGGCAUGUGUUCCUGAGUCACAUCAUCUGCUUAGCAACAAGCACGCCGGAGAGAGCGGGACAAAGCGACGUGAUUGGGGGAGACAAGGACCCUCAGGACAUCAAGUGCUAAUUGCAAAGCUAUUUUCGGCUCCAUUUUACAAACAAAUCCUUCGCCAGAAAAGGGGUUGCAUAACCGGGUUUUACACCAGUACCCCUCAUCAUUUGCCUUCACUUUCUUUCCAUCCUUUUAUUCACACCCCCAUCAUCUACCUAACAACGCCAUCUUGUUUCCUCAGUUGUGACACAACCUGAAGUGAAUGCUUGAAAGAGUAGGAUCAUGUUCAUGCUUUUAUAUCCAUCAUCCAUCCUUUUUUCCAAGCCGCUUAUCUUCACAAUCGUCGGGGGAAUGCUCAAAAACCCCAAAAUAUAUACAGUGUGUGUGUUUAAAAACUGUAUUUAACCACACUGACAUAAAUUACACAGCAUUUUCCUUGAAAUAUUAUGUCAUUAUUUUCCCAAGGUUUUAGCUUUAUUGUCAUCAUUUUGCUGUAGUUUUUUUUUCUUGCUUGCAGCGUGGCUGUAGUAUGUGUGAAUGUGUGGAACACGACCGCUGUCAGUGUUUAGAUGCGGCUGAUCAAAACCAUUUUGAGGUUUCCUAGUUAGAAACAAGACACUCCAGGCCCACACAUAAUAGUAAAAAUGAGAAAUAAAAAUAAAGGCUAUUGUGUGACUUCUUCUUCAGCAUUUUCCACACCAACCCCAAGGGAAACAAAAGAGUACUUAUGUAAUGUCAGUGUUACUCAACUCUGAUUACAGUCUGUCAUGUGAACACUAGGAAAAAGAUUGGGCUGUGUGCCGAGGUGCGAGUGCAUCCACACGGACUGGAGAGACCAUCUGCUUUUGCACAAAACCAUCUACUUCCUAAAGUCUCAUUGAUAUAGAAAACCUUCCAUGUAAAUCCAGUGUGCUUCUAUUUUUUAUUUUCCUUCACUUUAUG
Syngnathoides biaculeatus (alligator pipefish) is the source of this 1498-nucleotide long non-coding RNA. RefSeq lists it as uncharacterized. The record is from RefSeq and is a predicted model, not a curated record. The transcript is spliced from 5 exons. NCBI's taxonomy places the organism in Eukaryota, Metazoa, Chordata, Actinopteri, Syngnathiformes, Syngnathidae.